RNAcentral lists this ribosomal RNA (383 nucleotides) under Lipinia longiceps. RNAcentral's name for it is "partial small subunit ribosomal RNA". It matches the Rfam family "Bacterial small subunit ribosomal RNA", at positions 831 to 1384 of the family's 1533-position model. Lineage: Eukaryota; Metazoa; Chordata; Lepidosauria; Squamata; Scincidae. The record is from RNAcentral.
GCUUGACCCUAAACACAGAUGUUAUAAUACAAUACCAUCCGCCAGAGAACUACAAGCGAAAAGCUAGAAACUCCAAGGACUUGGCGGUGCUUUAAACCAACCUAGAGGAGCCUGUCCUAUAAUCGAUACUCCACGUUUUACCUUACCCCCGCUGGCCAACCAGCCUAUAUACCGCCGUCGUCAGCCUACCUUGUGAGAGAAACAAAGUAAGCAAAAUAAUUAGUAAUUAAAACGUCAGGUCAAGGUGUAGCACAUGCAGGGGCAGAGAUGGGCUACAUUUUCUAAAAUGAACACACAGACAGAGUGUUGAAACACAUGUUAGAAGGUGGAUUUAGUAGUAAACAAGGCAAGAAUGCCAUCUUGAAGCCUGCUCUGAAGCGCGC